Molecule: ribosomal RNA, 252 nt
Filed under: uncultured bacterium
Lineage: Bacteria
Description: partial 16S ribosomal RNA
Rfam family: Bacterial small subunit ribosomal RNA
Source: RNAcentral
UACAGAGGGUGCGAGCGUUAAUCGGAAUUACUGGGCGUAAAGCGUGCGUAGACGGUUUCGUAAGUCGGAUGUGAAAUCCCCGGGCUCAACCUGGGAAUUGCAUUCGAAACUGCAAGGCUUGGGUGCGGAAGAGGGAAGCGGAAUUUCCGGUGUAGCGGUGAAAUGCGUAGAUAUCGGAAGGAACACCAGUGGCGAAAGCGACUUCCUGGUCCAAUACUGACGUUCAUGUGCGAAAGCGUGGGGAGCAAACAG